UUAUAUUUUAGUGUAAGAUGCACGAUAAUUUUUGAAAUUGUAAGAUAUAGUUUAAUUCUAUAAAAUAUAA
RNAcentral lists this transfer RNA (70 nucleotides) under Junonia westermanni. RNAcentral describes it as "tRNA-Gln". The record is from RNAcentral. Lineage: Eukaryota; Metazoa; Arthropoda; Insecta; Lepidoptera; Nymphalidae.